Molecule: long non-coding RNA, 1458 nt
Filed under: Apteryx haastii (Great spotted kiwi)
Lineage: Eukaryota; Metazoa; Chordata; Aves; Apterygiformes; Apterygidae
Description: lncRNA (ENSAHAG00000005686.1)
Source: RNAcentral
AUGCUGCGAGAGACUGAAGAACCGCCUGUCAGCCCAUCUGCAUGGUCAAGGAUGGCACUGGGGUUGUGGCUCACCAAUGAACCUCACAGCUGCCUCCCACAAGGAUGCUUCAGGGUUGUCCAAGUAUGGCAGGCUCUGCUACAGGUAUUGCUCCACUCUGCUCCUGUCCCUCAGCAGCUGGAGACAGCACAAGGUCAGGGGGUUGGCACCAAGACUCCCUGGAGAGCCAGACCUGCCCCUCCGCCCAGGACCGGCCUCCUCUUCCUUCCUCCUCAUGACUUCCAGUGGCCUAUGGCUGCUGAGAUCCCCCCAGUCCUUCUGCCAAGGACCAGCCAGGCCAGAGACCCCUUCAGCAUCCCGGGGGGCAGCAAGAGCAGAGGGGCCUGGAGCAGAGCCCAUCGCGGCUGGGACUCUGGCUGGAGCAAGUGGGUGAGGGGCACAGCUGUGUGCCCUGCACACUGGGCAGGGGGGCCAGCCCUCAUCCAGCCUUGGCCCCGGGGGCUUUGGUGUUGUCCUUACCAGGUACUCCCCAAUCUUCCACGUCUCCCCUGUUCUGGCCAGUUGCUUGAGCUCCCCUCACUUCAAGAGCUGUGCAGCACUGAUGAAGGCUUACUGAGAGGCCUGCACAGCAGCAGAGACCAGGAGAUGCUACCACAGCCAGGGAAGGACAUCCUGGGUCUGCCUCGUCUUGGUAAGGCUUGGAGCCUUUCCCAGCCCAGAAUGGGAAGAUGCAGCUUGGGACCAGGUCUGCCUCUUGCUGAAGGCAGAUACAGCUCUGCCUUGUCUUUGGGGACACAGGAAGUUGGACCUCAUGCUGACAUGCAUUCAAAGGGACACUUGCCAGCAGCCCUUGCCAUGGUGCUCAGGCCCACUCAAGGGAUGUCAGCAUCGCUUCCCAAAAUCACUGCUCCGUACCUGGGCCACUCUCUGGAACUGCUCACUCAUGUGGAGGAAGAGUGGGACCAGGCUCUUCUGCACAUGCUGCUUCAUCCACCAUUUGUUCUUCCCCACCACAAUCUCCAUCAGGUCUUUGCAGAGGAGGAUGGAGAGCUCUCUCACUGUGCUGUCUUUCUGUGGGGAGGGAGGAGAGGAGGGGAGGCCUCAGCAAUGACUCCAGGAACCGGGCAUGAGAAGAGGGUUUGCUGUUGCAAGGCCUUGUCCUCCCCAGGCACAACUGUCCCUCAAUCCAGCCGGAUACUGGAGCUGGGGACAAAAUUCUGCGGAGGCAGCCUGGAGAAUGAGGGUUGUCGGCAGCAGCAGGACAAGGUUCCCUGGGCUCUGUCUCCCUCUGCCUCUGGAGGGAACUUUCUGGGGCUCCAUCAGGGCCCCCACGCAGAAGAGGAUGACAGAAAGGGACAGCCCUGGGGCACGGCCCCUCCCUUGCUCUCUAGCCUGCUCCUGCCUCUUUGCUCUUCUCUACCCCAGGCCAUGACAAGUGCCACAGGGAGUCAAGCAUGA